UAAGAAUAUAAUUAUUAAAAUUAAAAAAAAAUUACCUAUUGGUUACAAUUUUUUUACUCAUAAUAUAUAUAUAUUCACUAAUAAUUUGUCAUUUCAUAAUUUCUUGGGGGUAUUGAGCCAACAACUUUUUCGUGAAGAUCAAUUAUGACAAAAUAAGAAUAAUUGCUAGAAAUUGCAGCAAUUCACAAAAUUUCAUUUGCUUUUGCCUUUUUGGACAUGCUUUUGUCUUUGUCCUUGUGGACAUUAGUACAUGGGCAUACAUAGACACAAGGCAAAAUAAAAGUUCAGAGAGAGAGAGAGAGAGAGA
Molecule: unclassified non-coding RNA, 307 nt
Filed under: Hevea brasiliensis (rubber tree)
Lineage: Eukaryota; Viridiplantae; Streptophyta; Magnoliopsida; Malpighiales; Euphorbiaceae
Source: RNAcentral